RNAcentral lists this ribosomal RNA (500 nucleotides) under uncultured cyanobacterium. RNAcentral describes it as "bacterial SSU rRNA". It matches the Rfam family "Bacterial small subunit ribosomal RNA", at positions 356 to 870 of the family's 1533-position model. Lineage: Bacteria; Bacillati; Cyanobacteriota. The record is from RNAcentral.
GGGGAAUUUUCCGCAAUGGGCGAAAGCCUGACGGAGCAAGACCGCGUGCGGGAGGAAGGUCUAUUGACUGUAAACCGCUUUUGAUAGGGAAGAAGAUCUGACGGUACCUAUCGAAUCAGCAUCGGCUAACUCCGUGCCAGCAGCCGCGGUAAUACGGGGGAUGCAAGCGUUAUCCGGAAUUAUUGGGCGUAAAGCGUCCGUAGGUGGUUUUAUAAGUCUGUUGUCAAAUCGCGAGGCUUAACCUCGUACAGGCAGUGGAAACUAUAAGACUAGAGUGCGGUAGGGGUAGAGGGAAUUUCCAGUGUAGCGGUGAAAUGCGUAGAUAUUGGAAAGAACACCGGUGGCGAAGGCGCUCUACUGGGCCUGCACUGACACUGAGGGACGAAAGCUAGGGGAGCGAAAGGGAUUAGAUACCCCUGUAGUCCUAGCCGUAAACGAUGGAAACUAGGUGUUGCCCGUAUCGACCCGGGCAGUGCCGUAGCCAACGCGUUAAGUUUCCC